Small nucleolar RNA from Loxodonta africana (African savanna elephant), 78 nucleotides. Its record names the gene SNORD115. It matches the Rfam family "Small nucleolar RNA SNORD115". Rfam says of the family: HBII-52 is a member of the C/D class of snoRNAs, which contain the C (UGAUGA) and D (CUGA) box motifs. HBII-52 is encoded in a tandemly repeated array with another C/D snoRNA, HBII-85, in the Prader-Willi syndrome (PWS) region of chromosome 15. The record is from Ensembl. NCBI's taxonomy places the organism in Eukaryota, Metazoa, Chordata, Mammalia, Proboscidea, Elephantidae.
GGGUCAGUGAUGACAUAAUCUGUCUGGAAGGGAGAUGAUGACCUAAAAAUCAUGCUCAGAGACGUUAUGCUGAGGCCC